RNA transcript from Cucumis sativus (cucumber), 1298 nucleotides. It is a transcript of the gene named cyclic nucleotide-gated ion channel 1-like, with no coding region annotated. Lineage: Eukaryota; Viridiplantae; Streptophyta; Magnoliopsida; Cucurbitales; Cucurbitaceae. The transcript is spliced from 4 exons. The record is from RefSeq and is a predicted model, not a curated record.
ACUGUUCUCUUCCCCUUUUCGGUUUACAUAUCCUAAAUCAAUUCAAACAAUUUUUUACAACAAAAAUAAUAAAAUCAAAUAACAAACAUAAAUUAAAUGUCCAUAUCUAUAUUGAUCUUCACUCUUCAGUUGUCUCCAACACUUGAAGUUCUCAAGAGUUGUAGUCUAAAUGGCCAAUGCAAACAAUAUUACUUUCAGAUAAGGAUUUCGAUCUUACGCCUCAAUUAGAAUAUAGAAAGAAAUAGAGACAUGUGUUGAACAUGGACUCGUUUCAAUUGAACUCGGAAAGUUUGUGAACUGAACUCCUUUCUUUCUCCAUGGUUGGAGAUGAACUCGUGUAGCUAUAUGAUUUACAUACAGGACAAGCUUCGAAGAUCAACAACACACAAAAUUUGUUCUACGACUUGGGUUUCUCCUUUCAUCUAUGAUAGCUGUCUUCCUCCAUGUUUUGUUCUUCUACAUCUACAACAUAGAUUAUCAGAAAAGUCAAGAACGCGACCAUUGGUGCCAGGUCGGUGACGGACUUCAUCCUUCUACUCGAAGUCGCCUACAAGGUCUGCUCAAGUUCAAUACUUGACUUAUGUCCCAAUUCUAAAACGAAUGCGGCUCCUCUGACUUUCUUCGGACGCCUUGCUGAUGUUAGCAAAAGGGUUCCAUGGAUGGAUGUCCUUGUCGAUUUUUUGGCAAUGCUUCCCCUUCCACAGGAAAUGUGCAGAUUAUCCUUGUGGGAGUCUUUCCAAGUAGGAAAGGUAUCAAAUAUUUUAAAAACAAGUGGCGACUGAUUUUUCUGCCUCUCUUCCAAUUUGUCCCAAGAAUCAUUCGAAUCUACCUGUUAUGUAAGAAGCUUUCCAGGAGUGCUGCUCCUAAUGUCAUAACAAAAACCGGGCAGUUCAGAGGCACAUUCAAUUUCGUCCUCUUCAUUCUUGCCAGCCAUGUGGUUGGAGCAUUUUGGUACUGCUUCUCAGUUAUAACAUAACUGAAUUGUUGGCGAAGUGCCUGCAAAUUUAAUAGUGGAUGCAGGGUGAAUUCAUUUUCUUGUGAGGAUAUCACGGGCAAUGAGCGAUUUGUUGAUAAGUAUUGCCUUGACAAUCUGGCCAAAUUCGAUUUUGGUUUAUUUCUUAAUGCCCAACAAUCUGGUAUCAGGAGGGUAAAUGAUUUUCCUGCAAAGUUAUUGUUGGAAUUCUUUCCUUUUUUUCUAGGCUUUUUCCUUGUUAGAAUCCUAGAAUAAUUAUGGAAAGAUUAUGGGGAUGUAUUCCUUAUUUUCCUAAAUCUUUUCCUUUUUUAUUCCAUUGUGUACU